This 206-nucleotide ribosomal RNA is filed under the name uncultured bacterium. RNAcentral's name for it is "partial 16S ribosomal RNA". It matches the Rfam family "Bacterial small subunit ribosomal RNA", at positions 1294 to 1500 of the family's 1533-position model. The record is from RNAcentral.
CGGAUUGCAGCCUGCAACUCGGCUGCAUGAAGCUGGAAUCGCUAGUAAUCGCGGAUCAGAACGCCGCGGUGAAUACGUUCCCGGGUCUUGUACACACCGCCCGUCACACCAUGGGAGCCGGAAACGCCCGAAGCCAGCGGCCCAACCGCAAGGGGGAGCUGUCGAAGGCGGGGCCGGUGACCGGGGUGAAGUCGUAACAAGGUACC